AACGAGACCUUAACCUGCUAAAUAGCCAGGCCGGCUCUCGCUGGUCGCCGGCUUCUUAGAGGGACUGUCAGCGUCUAGCUGACGGAAGUUUGAGGCAAUAACAGGUCUGUGAUGCCCUUAGAU
RNAcentral lists this ribosomal RNA (123 nucleotides) under Agaricales sp. Its description in RNAcentral is "partial small subunit ribosomal RNA". It matches the Rfam family "Eukaryotic small subunit ribosomal RNA", at positions 1334 to 1478 of the family's 1831-position model. Lineage: Eukaryota; Fungi; Basidiomycota; Agaricomycetes; Agaricales. The record is from RNAcentral.